This is a non-coding RNA of Suricata suricatta (meerkat), 74 nucleotides long. Lineage: Eukaryota; Metazoa; Chordata; Mammalia; Carnivora; Herpestidae. The record is from the annotation of a RefSeq genome assembly.
GGCCGGUUAGCUUAGUUGGUUAGAGUGUGGUGUUAAUAACACCAAGGUCAUGGGUUCGAUCCCUGGAUGGGUCA